GACAGAGGUGCCGAGCGUUAGGCGGAAUCACUGGGCUUAAAGCGUGUGUAGGCGGACCGUUAAGUACCUUGUGAAAUCCCGCGGCUCAACCGCGGAACGGCUGGGUAUACUGGCGGUCUUGAGCGAUCUAGGGGCAGAUGGAACAAGUGGUGGAGCGGUGAAAUGCGUAGAUAUCACUUGGAACGCCAAAGGUGAAGACAGUCUGCUGGGGAUCCGCUGACGCUGAGACACGAAAGCCAGGGGAGCGAACGGG
RNAcentral lists this ribosomal RNA (253 nucleotides) under uncultured bacterium. RNAcentral describes it as "partial 16S ribosomal RNA". It matches the Rfam family "Bacterial small subunit ribosomal RNA", at positions 524 to 776 of the family's 1533-position model. The record is from RNAcentral.